GCAGAACGCGAAGAACCUUACCAAGGCUUGACAUCCCCCUGAUCGGUCUAGAGAUAGAUCUUUCCCUUCGGGGACAGGGGUGACAGGUGGUGCAUGGUUGUCGUCAGCUCGUGUCGUGAGAUGUUGGGUUAAGUCCCGCAACGAGCGCAACCCUUAUCUUUAGUUGCCAGCAUUCAGUUGGGCACUCUAGAGAGACUGCCGGUGACAAACCGGAGGAAGGUGGGGAUGACGUCAAAUCAUCAUGCCCCUUAUGUCUUGGGCUACACACGUGCUACAAUGGUUGGUACAAAGGGCAGCAAGCCAGCGAUGGUAAGCAAAAUCCCAGAAAAGCCAAUCUCAGUUCGGAUUGUAGGCUGCAACUCGCCUACAUGAAGUCGGAAUCGCUAAGUAAUCGCAGAUCAGCAUGCUGC
RNAcentral lists this ribosomal RNA (410 nucleotides) under uncultured bacterium. RNAcentral describes it as "bacterial SSU rRNA". It matches the Rfam family "Bacterial small subunit ribosomal RNA", at positions 954 to 1360 of the family's 1533-position model. The record is from RNAcentral.